This 8925-nucleotide long non-coding RNA is filed under the name Homo sapiens (human). Its description in RNAcentral is "HSALNT0313713". The record is from RNAcentral. Lineage: Eukaryota; Metazoa; Chordata; Mammalia; Primates; Hominidae.
AAUGCCAUGUCUGCCUAGGUGAUAAAAUAAUGUUUGGUGCAUAGAAGGCACUAAAAAUAUAGCUUUUGAAUGAGUGAAGGACAUUUUCCCCAAAAUUAUUGUCAUUUGUCAUUUGUCUCUGCUGGAAGUCUGUGGGGGCAGAUAACUGUUCUUGGGGAUCUCCCAAGUGUCCUGAGGAGGUCCUUAGGAGCCACAGCCUGCAUUCUCGUCGCCUCGCCCCUCAUGUGGAUGUGAACCAGACUGGAAGAGGCAUCCCUUUGCCUUGAGGCAACAGUUUCAAGAGCAGAGUCUCUUUGGCCAGCUCUUAAACUUCUCCCAAGUUAGCCCUCCCCGGAAUGAACAGGAGGCUCCUCUGCCCAUCUAGUGUCAAGGUGCCGACUCAAGAAGUCAUCCUUUGUCUUCCUCUUCCAUUCUCUUGCUGAUAUUGUCCACGGACACAGGCACAGCACUUUUGUACGUUGCACGAUUUGCUCUUUGCCCUUUAUAAUCAUUUCUACUAUUGAAUAAUUCAUCCUAUAUUCGUGUGAAGAGUUCCUCUUUUUCUCAUCACUUCCAGUUUUUAAAAAUCUCUUCUGUUUCCAUGGUAAUUGUAUAUAUCAACAAGGACUUUGAACACUCUCCAUUUUCUUGGAUUUAUUGAAUCUGAUGUGGUUAAUAAUGCUUGGGAAAACUUCUCAAAAAAAACUCUCACAAACACAGCAAAUGCAUUGAUGGUGAACAGCACAGUUUUUGAGUUCAAAAGGCAGCAGUGUACAUUCCAUAUCAUCUGCUGUUACCAUGUAGUAUGUUCUCACAGGAGAGCUUGGGAUUUUAUCUGUGAAUAUCCAUAGGUUGAAAGUUGGUAAGCAAAAGAACAUCUGUAACUAACCUACUCUUUUUCUGCAGGUUUGUUGUUGGGAUAAAAGUUAACGUGCUCUAGUGCACUGUAGCCUAUAAAAUGUUAUCCUUUCUGUGACGCAUGCCCCAUUUCCACCAUGCCAUGUGGGGACACAAGGAACAGAUCUUUGUCCACAGGAAAAGUGGAAACUCAGAGUUGAAUUUCCUCUUCACUCCAAAGCAUGACUAUGCAUGCACACACACACACACACACACACACACACACACACACACGUGCGCGCACACACACACAUGCACUCAAACUCCUAAGAGCUGGAGGCAGGGAUCCUGGCUCAGAGUUAGAGCUCUCACAACAGGAAGGAUAGAGACAAAAUUCCUAGUUGCUGAUCACUUGCUAACUCUCUUCAUUUUCAGAAGAAAACACCUCCUGGCAUUUGCUUAAUGGAAGGCACCUUUCUAGUCAAUCACUUGACAAGUGUUCUGAAUUGGAUUUUAAAAGGACAGAGGUUGAGAUUAGGGUUAGGGAUUUUUAUUACAUCUCAAAGUGCCUGUAUAAAUUACACAGUGGGGAUUUUCAGUUGAAAGCUUUUCCAGUUAAUAAACAGGAGACUCAUGUAUCGGCAUUUUUGUAAUGCUAUAAGAAUGGGGAAGUGUAGGUUCUGGCACGUAUUCAUGUAAACAAAAAGUGAGUGACGAAUUUUUACCUUGAGUUUUAGAAUCACACUCUUAUAAAUAAUUUACAUACAAGGAGAGAUCAUAGAGAUAACCUGUAGAAAAACAGAAAGAUGAAUUUUUUCCAGCUAAACUUGUCUUGGUGCAGAACUAUCUUGGGCAUAUCAGAUUUUAUAAAGAUACUUUUCCUCUUACAUUUCACACUUCACUUUCACUAUCCAGAAGCCAAGUGGAGGCAUUUUCCCUGAUGAGUGGGAGUUGUAAGGACUAGCUCAAGAGUAGAAUAGGCUUAGGCAAAACUAUAAUGUAGGGGAAAUCAUCCAUGUAACCUGAAUCCUAUUUUAGUGUCUUGAGCCUAAGCCCUAUCUUAAUCCCCAGAACCCCAAAGUUCUGCAGACAAAAAGUUCCCCAUAGAAGUGGCCUCCUGAUCUUUAAACAGAGCCAUGGGCUUAAUCUUCCUUUUGCUGCCAUCUAAAAUUUAAUAAUUCUAAUAUUCAUUUCCUCAGGGCCUUAGCUUGUGGACAAGCUAAUGUAUGCCAACAUACCCAGAGUUCUUAUGAUCUAAAAGUGUUAUUCUCCUGGGUAAGUGGUAAGUAGUUUGCAUUUCAACAAGGAUAAAUAAAUGCCUUGGUUCAAAAGAAUGACAGGGUAGGGUUGUUAAAAAUAUUACUUCCUCCAGGAAGCUUCUGCCUCCCUCUACCCUCAUGGAUUAGAAGUUCCCAGGAAGGCUCCUAUGUAAAGCAUGCUUCUCCUGUCAUGGUAUUUGGCACCCGUCAUUGACAACACUUGUUUAAUAAGCUCUGUGGGUACAGCCCCAUGUAUAUUCAUACACAUAUACUGUUGUAUUAAUUCCCACCACCCGGCUCCCUGAUGGAACACUUGAAGGACAUUAAUAAAUACUGUCUGUUGAAGAAUGAACAAAGCUAAGGGUUUCAGGGACUCUAGAAAGAUAAUAGAGUGAGGGAGAGACAAGCAGUAUUUGAAGGCCAGAUGGCUUUCACUGAUGCUUCCUACUUGGUUAUUUUAUAACUGACAAACCUCUGAAAAUGCCACUUAAAAGUAAUAGUUUUCAGUAUCACUUUAAGUGCUUUAGAAUCACACUCAGCAUUGGAUGUAAAUGGUUAAGGAGGGUAGCCUCGGUCUGCUACUGCCAUAGAUACCUUUAAUAUACAGAAAUUACACAGAAAGUGUCAUGGCAUUCUUGUUUUACCCAGUGAGAAAAUCCACUGUUCAAAUCGAAACCAAUAUGGAAAUUACUCCUUCCAUCAAAAGGAGCAGAGGACGAAAACAAAAACAAAAACAAAAACAAAAUCUCCUCAGCUCCACAGUGAUGACAUAGAAAGUUCAGAUAAGAAAGAGAAAGAAGGCUUUGGGAAAACAAAAAUAAGAAAGUAUUUCAAUGGCAUUCCAAGUAAAUAGUGGCUAGAGUUUUGGCUCAAUGUACUAGCAACACAGUGAUAAGGGCUCUUCUCAAAGUAAAGUGAACUUGGAGCAAGUGAAUGAGGAAACACUGAAAACGGGUGGGCUGAGAAAAAUGCACCCUCUCAGAGCAUGCAGUGAAGGCUCAGCUGAAUUAAUACAAGGAAAGGAAAUUUUACCCCAGACUAUAGAUCACUCGUUUAACCUUUCUCAUGAGAGUCUUCUUCAGUUGUUAGUGAGGGGGAAUUGUAGAUUUAUAUUAGACCUGCAUUGUAAUAUAACAGAGUUUAGCAAUGCACUGUGGCUAAGACAGCUAUAUAACCAACUGGAUGUAGUUCUUAGUGAUACCACACUCAGUCAUUUUCAGUUCUGCUUUCCUUUCGUUUUCCUUUUUUCCUUCUCAUUUUCUCUCUUUCUAUCAUACAUCAAGUUAAAGAAUGUCUUUAUAUGCUGCCAUAGACAAAUAUAUAUGAACCAGGUAGACCAAGAAACUAAGUAGUACACAAAGUGGCCAAACCCAGUAAAAGCCUAUAACUUCUACACGUUUUACACAUACACACACACACACCACACUCAUUUAAUUCCCUCAACACCUCUACUCUAUAAAAAUUUUAUGCCUCCCCUUUUUUUGGUUUAGUAAACAAAUUCAGGUAGGCUCAGUCAUUUGACCAAUGACAAACAACUAGAAUAUGGAGCAUGAAUUUGAAGCAUCAGAGUCUGUACCCUUUUCUCUGAAUAUUUUGGGAGAUAAUUGGUACAAAGUAAAUAAAAAUCAAUAUUGUCAUUAUUGUCUACUUAGAUAACAAUGCAGUGUCUUCAUUCAUAAUGGAUUGCAGUUCCCCACUCAGGAAGAGGACAUUUUUUUUAAAACUACAUGAUACAACUGAGAGCUUGGAAGCUAUCCAUGCAUAAGUUUUAAAACCCAGCAGCUUCAUGGUUUCCUCCUUCUGUUGGCCUGGCCAGUGGACACAGUGGUCACGUUCCUGGCAUGGAGAUGUCAUUCAUGGUCUCUCAGACCCAAGUGUUACCAGUGAAGGGUGUCCAGGUUCUUGGCGCUUUGAACAAAGAAUUGGACAAAACUCACAAACAAAGCAAGAAAAGAAAGAAGCAACAAAAGCAGAGAUGUAUUGAAAAUGAAAACACACUCCACAGGGUGGGAGCAGGCCGAGCAAGCAGCUCAAGGGCCCAGUUACAGAACUUUCUGGGGUUUAAAUACCCUUUAGAAGUUUCCAUUGGUUACUUGGUGUACACCCUAUGUAUAUGAAGUAGUGGCCUGUGAUCAGUCUGAUUGGUUGGAAGGGACCAAUCAGAAUGCAAACGUCUGAUUAGUUGUGGAAAGUGACCAAUUAGAGGCUGAAGUGAAGUUACAAAGUAAUACUCCCACGCAAAUGAAGACUUGGCCCACAACCAACCUGAUUGGUUGUGAGAGGGGACCAAUCAGAGGGACUUUCAGUUUUUCACCUGCAAUGCAGAAAAAGGGUGGCAGGUGAGGGGUGUUGCAAAGGGAGUAGCCUCUGGUCCUUUUGUUACUUGGGCACUUGGGCGUGGAAAGUGGGGGUUUUCCUUUUGAUUUAGUUCUAGGAAGUCAGCGUGAAUUGGCCUUACAUUCCCUGCCUCCAGACCCUAUUCUCCUGCCUCACAAGUGCUCCUAGGAGCUGUACAUGCCUGUCUUUGUCCCCAUGUAGUCAGCUCGUUACAGGUGGGUCCUGCUGGGUCUUUCGUUCUUGCUUCUCUGCUUCAAGAUGGCUAAUAAGUCCUGGUCCAGUGAGUCCCCAGUGCAGACAUAGAGCAGAAGGGAAGUGGGUCCAGUUGCAUUUCCUGCAGUUUAAUAAAGAACCCUGUGCUCUCUGGCCCAUUACCUAAAGCUGAUAUUGUGCUUGGAACGUGUAGUGUUAUCCAAUCCAGCUUUACCACUGCUAAAGCUGAUACCACGCUUUGAUCCUCUGCUUGCUCAUUUUGCCAAGUUCUUAACUGCGUGGAACUGGAAGGUGAGGGCUGGAUGAUUGAUUUUUCACCCUGCCCCCAAACUCCAACAACCGAAACCAAGGGUUCUUGAAGAGAGAGGGGCAGGGCAGCAACAGGGAGACUGAAACUUGGGGUGGGGGGGGGGCGGGGGGAGGGGGGCGGACGGAAUGUUUUUGAAGUGUGUGUUUGCCUAAGGUGUGUGUAGAAAGGUAGCUACUUUUCAGUCUCUGCCUGCCUUUAAUCCAUUACAAUGUCCUAAUUAAAAACAUUUAAAAAGCUACAUUGGAAAAUGAUCCCUGAGGCUAGAAUGCUGUUGGCACAGUGAAAAAGACGCAAUCAAUAAGUAAACAGGCAAUGUCAGCCCGGAGAGCUUUCAGAACAACAUGCCUACUCGGGGGAAAAAAAAUUACAAGUCGCUUUAGCCUAUUUAAAUAUUUUCCAAGAUCUUUGUUAAAUUUCAGGUAAUAAUAUUUCUUCCUUUGAACAAGCGUUGUAUGUUUGCCUUUGACUGAGAAUGGCCUAGGCUAGAGACCAUUUGGUAUUCAACUUGUGACUAUUUUAGUAUGGGGCUGGACCCCAAAAAUUCAUGCUCAAUGAAAUGAUUUUCACUUACUGAGAUGAAUUUACUUUUUGCUUCCUUCAGCAAUUCAUCAAUCUAAUGGAAGAAAGAGUAGCUAUCAUCAUAAUGAGAAUAGACUUCUACGAGUAUGAGUCAAUGUCAAUACUUUAUUUAAUAAUGCAAAUUCUAUUACUAUAUAUUUGGUCUCAAUCCAAAUUUGCUUUAAAUUGAGUUUCCUUGCCAUUGCACACUCCUAUCUUUCUGAACACACACCACCCCACACACACACCAUACACACUUGUUUCAUUGCGCUUCAUUUUAUUGCACUUCUCGAAGAAUGUGUUUUUUACAAAUUGAAGAUUUGUGGCAACUUUUCAUCGAGUGAGUCUAUUGGCAUCAUUUUUGCAAGAGCAUAUGCUCACUUCCUGCCUCUGUGACAGCAUUUUUUAGCAAUAACAUAUUUUUAAUGAAGGUAUGUACAUUGUUUUUUAGACAUAAUGCUAUUGCACACUUGACUAAAAUGUAGCCUAAGUAUAAUUUUUAUAUGCCAUGGGAAACUAAAAAAAGUGACUUACUUUAUUGUAAUAUUUGCUUUAUUACUUUGGUCUGGAACUGCCUCACACUAUCUCUGAAGUAUGCAUGUAUAGCUUUUCAUAACACAGAUAUCACAUUUGACCAGAUCCUAUUGUUACUGAACAAUGUUGAUGCUAACAUUGAUGAUAUCAAUCACUAUUACUGGAAUCAUUAUCAACAUAUCAAUAAAUAUUUUUAGAACAUUUUGAAAUUGUCAGCUGGGUUUUGGUUAAAUACUUCUUGUCUGAUAUAUUAUAUCCCAAAACAAUAACAGUAGCUGAAAAUACCAGAGAAGAUAUACUUUUUAAAGUAACAUAUUGUCAUAACGUAUAAGUAUCAAAAUUUCAUACUGCAGCAUGACUGACAUAAAGAACACUUUGUUGUUGUUGUUGUUGUUUUGUUUGUUUGUUUGUUUUGAGAUGGAGUCUCGCUCUGUCACCAAGGCUGGAGUGCAGUGGCACAAUCUGGCUCACUGCAACCUCCACCUCUCUGGUUCAAGCAAUUCCCCUGCCUCAGCCUCCAGAGUAGCUGGGAUUACAGGCGCAUGCCACCACGCCUGCCUAACUUUUCUGUAUUUUUAGUAGAGAUGGGGUUUCACCAUGUUGGCCAGACUGGGCUCGAACUCCUGACCUCAGGCAAUCCGCCCAUUUUGGCCUCCCAAAGUGCUAGGAUUACAAGUGUGAGGCACCACGCCCAGCCACAGAACACUUUUAAACCACUGAACUGAUAAAGGGGCUAUAAAACUCUUCUAUUUCAUUCUUUUUUUUUUUGAGACAGAGUCUUGCUCUGUCAUCCAGGCUGGAGUGCAGGGUGGCAAUCUCAGCUCACUGCAACCUCUGUAUUCCAGGUUCAAGCAAUACUUGUGCCUCAGCCUCCUGAGUAGCUGGGAUUACAGGUGUAUGCCACCAAGCUCAGCUAAUUUUUGUUCUUUUAGUAGAGACGGAGGUUUUGCCAUGUUGGCCAGGCUGGUCUCGAACUCCAGACCUCAAGUAAUCUGCCUGCCUUGGCCUCGUAAGUGCUGGGAUUUCAGGCAUGAGUGACUGCACCUGGUCUAUUUCAUUCUUUAUAAGCAGAAAACUCUAAAUACUUCUAGGAUAGGUGGUUCUGAGCAGUAGGCAUCUAUGUAUUUAAGAAUAUUAUGGAAUCUUCUGGUUUCUCCAAUCCUGUCCACCUAUCUUCAUUAGGAUGUCCUGGGCGUCUCAUGUGUUAGCAGUGCCGUUGACCCUUGAACAACACAGGUUUCAACUGCACUGGUCCACUUAUACAUGGGUUUUCUUUUGCCUCUGCUAUUCCUGCUAAACAAACCCCCUCCUCUUCCGCCUACUCAACAUGAAGAUGAUGAGAAUGAAGACCUUGAUGACUGAUCCACUUCCACUUAAUGAAUAAUAACUAUAUUUGUUGUAAUUUUCUUAAUAACAUUCUUUUUCUAGCUUACUUCAUUGUAAGAACACAGUAUAUAAUACAUAUAAUAUACAGAAUAUGUGUUAACUGACUGUUAAUGUUAUUGGCAAGGCUUUGGGCCAUCAGUGGGGUAUUAGUAGUUAAGUUCUUGAGGAUCAAAAGUUAUACUUGGAUUUUCAACUGCAUGAGGGGUUGGUGCCCCUAACCUCCACAUUGUUCAAGGGUCAACUGUAAUUUCCCAGCUCCUGUUUCUCUGGUUUCUGACCUGCUACUGACCUGCUUCCAGCUUGGCUUUGUAGUCUCCUACUUCAUAUCCUCCUUUAUUCCUUGAACCAGGCCUUUGACUUUGGGAUCCCUUCAAGAACACUUGGCUCCUUCCCUCCUGGCUACACAUACACAUUGUUAGGAGGGAUAAGCACCCUAGCAGGCUCUAGAUGCAGCUGCUGUCCUAGUUUCUCUUGUGGGUGGAUUUGGGACAGCAGGGAUUCAGACCAUAAUGUGGUUGUUCCUCAUCCUUCUUUACCUAACUAUUAAUCAUUGGAUUUCUUCAAGGCUUAGUCCUAGGGAAGCCUACUUACUAACCCUGUACGCUCUCUGAAAGAAGAAAAAUCUACACUUAUUGAGUAGUUAAUUGAGUGGUUACUAAAUACUGAGAACUAUGCUAAAAGUUUCAAAUGCAAGAAGCCAUUUUAAUACUCCCAACAGCAUUAUAAGGUAGGGAAUAGUAUAUUCUCUGUUUUUAAAUAUAUGGGAAAUUCAGAGUAUUUGAGUAAUUUCUUCAUGGUUGCACAGCUAGGAAGUAGCAGAGCUGGGCUGCAAACUGAGAUGGCUUCAUUCUAGGACUCCUGCUCUGAACCACUACCCUAUAUUGGCAUUGGUUUCUAUGGAAAUCUUUAAGUUAUCUCAUCCACACUUUUGAGUUCAAUUGCCAUCAAAGCAUUGAUGACUCCCAAACUUCAGUUGCCUACUCAACAUCUCCAUUUGAAUGUCUCAAGAACACUUCAAACUAACCGCAUUGAAAAGUGAACUCAGGUACCCCAACCCCUUCAAACCCAAUCUUCUUACGUGUUUUCUUCAUCAGUGAAAGGAAAUCAUCUUCCAUUAGUGGGAUGAGCCAGAUACCUCGGUGUCAUCACUGGCUCAUCACUCUGCUUCAGUUCUGUACCCAACCCAUUAUUAAGUCCAGUGAUUAACACCUCUGAAAUGUGUUUCAAAGCAGUCCUCUUCUCUCUGUCUUCGCAGCAACCACCUUUGUCCAAGACACAUUAUCUUUCAUCCAAUCUAGUGGAUAACGCUGUGCUAGUUAGGGUUCUUCAGAGAAACAGGAACAAUAGGCUAUAUAGACAGUCCUUGACUUUGGGUGGUUCAACUUAAGACUUUUUGACCUUACAAUGGUGUGAACCUGUCUCAGUUUUGACAUAAUAUAGUACAGUAUUCAAUAAAUGACAUGAGAUGUACAACACCUUAUUAUAAAACAGGCUUUUUGUGGCUGGGCGUGG